Non-coding RNA from Puma concolor (puma), 499 nucleotides. The record is from RefSeq and is a predicted model, not a curated record. Lineage: Eukaryota; Metazoa; Chordata; Mammalia; Carnivora; Felidae.
AGCUGUCUUGUUUAGAGCCCACGAGGCAAGAAAUGAGGGAGUCCUCCAGCCCACAGCCAGCAAGGAAUUGAAUCCUGUCAACAGCCAUGUGAGUAAUCCCGGACAUGGCUCCACCUCAGGGGACCCCUCCCCACCCCUCGCUCCCAAUGACUGAAACCCUGGCUGAGCCUUUGAUCACAGCCUUUGUAUGAGACCACUAGCCACCGUCCCCCGGAGCUUUCCAUCAGUUAUUUGCCAUGAUAACACUGCCAGGUGGUGUUUAAGCAGACACUGUUUUAAAGGUGGAAAACUGAAGCUCAAACAGUUGAUUCAUCCCAGAAUCCCAUUUGCAUUUUUAAACUAUAAUCACACUGUGGCUGAUGAUGACAAGAUUCUUAAUGCCAACUAGCUCAAGUGGAAGCUACUUCCUGGCAAGGGCUCUUCUUUGGGAAUUACAAAUCUGCGUGAGCAAAUGAUGACGGAAAAAAUAUUUUGCACAGCAAAUUGGAAAAUAACUACC